Heterocephalus glaber (naked mole-rat) is the source of this 1802-nucleotide non-coding RNA. NCBI's taxonomy places the organism in Eukaryota, Metazoa, Chordata, Mammalia, Rodentia, Bathyergidae. The record is from RefSeq and is a predicted model, not a curated record.
CCAAAUCCCGGCGGGCGCGGGCGCGUUUUCCUCAAAGCUCAUUGCCACCGUCCGUGGUCCUCAGUGCUUGCGGGGUGGAGCCACUGUCUAGCUCUAACAGAAGCGAAAGGUGCCAGAGGAGCCUGUCCGUGGAUGUCCUCGCUCCUUCAUCUUCAAGAGCCCCGCACACGCUGCAAAGAGGAAACGACAGGCACGGAGCGGCCGGGGGGGUGGUUCACCCCGAGCUCCGGGUUCCUCCAGUCCCGGGACUGUGCGGCGGUGAAGACUUGGCCACUCCGCCCCCUCUCGGCGUUGACGCUGCUUCCGCGCUGCUGGACCGCCGAGGUGGCUGCCUAGUUAGGACAAGAGUCGCCCGCUGGAGCGUAGCGGUUCGGAGCGUGACUUGAGUGUUGCAGGCAAGAUCCUUUAGUAGCAGAUGGAGUAUCUGACUCAGGGCUUGAGUUGUUUUUCCAGGAGCAGAGAAUCAGUGUGAUGUCAGAUGAGCAUGAACUUGGAACCUAAAGGAAAGAAGAGAGGAUGAACAGCAAGUCGGUGGUAAGGAUUGAAUAUUUUUGGAGAAGAUGGGCUAAAACCACUUCAAAGAGUUUUACAUUUGGCAAGAAGGAGACCGAGGAAGUAAGCCCUUUGCCACUUGCUUCCUGAGAGCCAGCACCCUCCUUCCAAACUCAAGAGAAUGCAAUUCAGCAUGCUCUGGGGGCCUUUGAGUCAUCUCCGUCUGUGAAUCAACCUCCAGCCUCUAUUCUGAACAGAGAGAUCUCAUCCUCCUCCAGUUUCUGGAACUGGAAGCUGGUGUUUUUCCUUUGGAUUUUGUUUAAUGAGUGUCUUCCACCUCUAAGCAUGUCAAGUUGUCCUCCCAGUUGCAGACUGGGGACUGGAGGUAAGCAUCUAACCUAAGACCCUGAAGGGAAACACUGAAAACUACCUCUUGCAUUCAGUGGGGGCUUCCCAGCCAUGUCUCCUCACAACAGAAACUUCCUGCAUCUCUCCACACUGCCUGGGAGGUGAGCACAUACACAGAUAGCUUUCUGGACAGAUGCCCUAGGCAGCUGAGAGGAUGCUGAUGACCAUCUGAAUCCCAGAAGCAUGGAAGUUACCAUGGCUACCAAAAAUUGAAACCAUUGGCUGCUUGGCUAUGGGGACCAACUCAGCUGACCUCUCAAGGUCCCUUCCAGCCCUGGGAUUCUACAAUUACCCCGAACCAGCUGAGACCAAGUCUGCUGCAAGACAAGAGGAAGUCCUGUGACAUUAAGGCUUGGGCACAGAAAGCAAACGAUUUCAUCAGAAGCACCUUAGAGGUCACCUUGUCUUACUCAUCAGAAGUAUUAAGUCACAAUCUUUACCUCUGCUGCAUUAAUAAUAAGCAAAAGCUUUUUUUAGUUUAACAUUUUAUAUCUUUUACAAAACAAGUUUGCUACCACUUUUUAUUUCUCUUCCUUUUAUAGCUCUGGUCAGAAAUUUUGAUAAGAGGUUUACUCCACAUUGUGACCUGCAAAACAGCCCAGAAAAACUUGCAUCACUAUGGCCGAGUGGGGUGUGCUCCACCAGACAGGACGUGUAUGUCAUGAGCCUUCUAAGAAUCAGGAGGAAGGAAGUCAUUCAUACAGGAGGCAGAUGCUGAACUGCAACUCCGGUUUCCUCUUACAAGUCCUUGGACUGUAGGAAUGUUACUCCACAAAGGGAACAGGUUUCUCUACAACUUGACCAUCGAAAGCUCCCUACCUUUUCAAGUUGAGACAGAGCUGGGAAGAGGCUAAUGCAAUACCUACCUUCUCCCCACUACUGGUGGAGGGGGAUCCCAGCCU